RNAcentral lists this ribosomal RNA (274 nucleotides) under uncultured bacterium. Its description in RNAcentral is "partial 16S ribosomal RNA". It matches the Rfam family "Bacterial small subunit ribosomal RNA", at positions 523 to 796 of the family's 1533-position model. The record is from RNAcentral.
AUACGGAGGGGGCUAGCGUUGUUCGGAAUUACUGGGCGUAAAGCGCGCGUAGGCGGACCUGUAAGUCGGGGGUGAAAGCCCGAGGCUCAACCUCGGAACUGCCUUCGAUACUACAGGUCUUGAGUCCGGGAGAGGUGAGUGGAAUUCCUAGUGUAGAGGUGAAAUUCGUAGAUAUUAGGAAGAACACCAGUGGCGAAGGCGGCCAGCUGGACCAGUUCUGACGCUGAGGCGCGACAGCGUGGGGAGCAAACAGAAUUAGAUACCCCAGUAGUCC